Molecule: long non-coding RNA, 859 nt
Filed under: Homo sapiens (human)
Lineage: Eukaryota; Metazoa; Chordata; Mammalia; Primates; Hominidae
Description: HSALNT0145928
Source: RNAcentral
CCUCUUAUUCUUGAAUUUCUAUUCUUAUAUCUUUAUCUUUCUUGAUUUUCAGUUCAAAAAUAUUAUAUAGGUUUCUUUCAAGAUGCCUCGUGCUAUGGUUUGAAUGUGUCUUCCAAAAUUCAGGUGUUGAUACAUAAUGGCCAAUGUAAUGAUAUUAAGAGGUGAGCCCUUUAAGAGGUGAUUAGGUCAUAAGGGCUCCUUCUUCAUGAACAGGAUUCAGGUCCUUACAAAACAGGCUUGAUGCAGCAUUUACCUUGCUUGCUCUUCCACCUUCCACCAUGCGAGGACACUGCAUUCCUCUCCUCUGCAGGAUUCAGCAAGAAGGUGCCAUCUUGGAAGUAAAGAGCAGUCCUCACCAGACAACCAAACCUACCAUUGCCUUGAUCUUAGACUUCGCAGCCUCCAGAACUACUUCCCACUGGGUUCCAGCCGGCACACCCAACCUCUUCAGGACCUGGCUCUCCUAGACAGUGAUUAUCUUGGCACAUUGCCACGGUCAAGAGCGACACCUCAAGACCAAAUUAGAAACAGUCACAAUAGCUUCACUUCUGUCAAUGGUUCAGCCUGAGCAACAGGCAUAAACUUCAUUUUUCUUCACCUGAUACUCUCUGAUUCAACACCCUACAUUUCUGCCAGGCUUGUGUGGUCUCUUUAGAAUGGCCAUACUCUAAAAAAAUUGCAAAUGGAACUGCAAAUCCACUACCUGUGUGUCUUCGGACCAGCCAUGUCACUUUUGGAUUUCUCACUUAUGAGAUGCAGUAAUUGCCAGUUGCUCUCCCAAGCCUAAAGUACAAUGCCUUUUACCACAGUUAUUGAUGAACACUUAUCUGAAUUAAAAGGAACUUAGCAUCUUCUUAAC